Molecule: long non-coding RNA, 369 nt
Filed under: Manihot esculenta (cassava)
Lineage: Eukaryota; Viridiplantae; Streptophyta; Magnoliopsida; Malpighiales; Euphorbiaceae
Description: long non-coding RNA (MESC_LNC010382)
Source: RNAcentral
UCGGAUUCGUUGCUUUAAUAUCUCUAUCUGUGCAGAACUACUUCUUUGGAAUUGCAGGGGCUAAAUUGAUUCAACGAAUUCGUUCCAUGACAUUUGAAAGAGUUGUACAUCAAGAAAUCAGCUGGUUUGAUGAUCCUGCAAAUUCCAGGUUUGUAUGCAUUAAAAGAAAUAAUCACAAUCAUAUUCUCCAAAUUCUGAGACGCUUAAUUUUGUAUCCCUUACCAUUUUCCAGUGGAGCAGUUGGGGCAAGAUUGUCAACCGAUGCUUCAACAGUUAGGAGUAUUGUUGGUGAUGCCUUGGCCCUAGUCGUCCAAAAUGUAACAACAAUCCUAGCAGCAUUGAUUAUAGCCUUCACAGCUAACUGGAUUC